This is an RNA transcript of Carassius carassius (crucian carp), 4534 nucleotides long. RefSeq lists it as uncharacterized. The transcript is spliced from 8 exons. NCBI's taxonomy places the organism in Eukaryota, Metazoa, Chordata, Actinopteri, Cypriniformes, Cyprinidae. The record is from RefSeq and is a predicted model, not a curated record.
GUCUCUCUCUACCUCUGGAGGUGGAAUAUCAGGAGAAAAACAGCUACAGCUGUGUGAUCAACAAUCCCAUCAGAAACCAGACCACACAUCUGGACAUCACUCAACUCUGUCACACAUGUUCAGAUUUGGUGAAGCUGUGAUCCGAUUGGUCCUCUUUGCUCUGGUGGGCGUGGCUACUGUCCUUGUUCGUGACAUCUGAUCCAGGACUGAAUAAGAUUAAGCACAUAUGAUGAUGUGAUUUCAGUGAUUGACAUUUAAAUAAUUGAAUCUCCAUUUAUUUAUAAUGACUUUAUAUAUUCAUCUCCUGGUAUCAAUGUUAAUUUCCACUCUAAAAGAGGAUUUCAAAAACGCUUGAUUGCUUGUUAAACCUGUUGUGAUCAGAUUUUUUCACAGCUAAUGUGGUGUGACGUUUGAUGCAUACUAUGCAUGAUUCUUUUGUGAUGUGAUGCCAGUUUAAUAUACCACAGAAUGCUAAUAACUGAACAUCAUCUCAGUCUGUGAAUGUUUCUUGUUUCAGCAGUGCAUCCGCCAAGCCAAAUGUCUCAGGUAAUCAAAUGCGAUUUUUUCAAAACGAACAAUUACAUUUACAGUUUACUUAAUGUUUUCAUUCAUUUACACUCAUACGUUUUGUUGUACAACACAAGUAAACAUUAUAAAUGUGAUUCACUGGUUUUUGAGUCAAAAGGACUUUGCAGUGGUUUUCCUCUUUGUUAUAUCUGUACAGUAACGUGGUUUGAUCUGUUAGGUAGAUAAACGGCUUCUGCUGCAUGUUUGUGUGUCUUAAUAGUUUGUGGGUGAAGCGGUUUUUCCCUUCUAGUAUGAUAAACUAGUGCAUGUGCAUGCUUUCACUGCGUGAUUUAACCUAUUAUCAGUGCCAUUUAAAUCAACCUGAAAUGAUUUUGUCAUAUUAAAUAUGAUCUUUUAUAUUUAUACAUAUAUAAAACUUUUGUAUUUAUAUCAUUUGAUAAGGAAUAUCAUGCGAGUGAAAGUGCUGUUUUCUCGAAUAUCAGCAUGAUUGCAAAUGUGAUAUUGAUUUUAUGCAACAGGAAGUUAACAUCUUCGUAUCAGUUGACAGUGAAUCCAGUAAACUCCAUCUCUGCUGUGAGUUUAAUAUGCAUUUGGGAUACGCAACAUGUCCCAGUUACACAUUAUUUUCAUAUUAGCGUAAUUUCCAGCAUUUUUCUGGACACAGGUUUGAGUCCACGUUAAAUUCCAGGUACAAAGUGCAAAGUUGGACACUGAAAAUGUGUUGGAGCUCUUAAUUUUGGAUUUCCAAAGUGGGAACCACUGUAGUCUUAGCGCUAGUUUGAUAAACCGUUUGUAAGCUUUAUAAACACUGAACACGUGCAAGCAUGCUUUAGGCUGAGCUAGAGUGUCCUUGUGUAACUUAGCCACUCUUCUGCUAUUAGUCUUCAAUCAGGCCCAGAAUUCAUUUGAAAAUGUAAGAUCAGCAAAAGCUCAUUGAUUUUCAUGACGAUAAAUGAGAUGGACAUGUGAGCGGAAACACUGACUGAGGUCACAUCCAGAUAAAUAUCAAAGCUUAGUUGUAAGUGUUUUCAAACAUUUUAUGCAUCACUGUUGUGGGUUUUUCAGAGAACCGAUGAAGACAAUGUUUCUCAAAUUAGUUUUGCUCUGUUUGUGUUUCUGGCGUCUGGAUGGUGAGUUUGAAAUGUAUUUUUAUGGCUUCAGUUCUGGUAAAUUAUUAAAAGUACUUUAGUAAAGCUUCAUUAAACCAAGAUCAAGUGAUUUUAAAGCUUUAAUCCGUGAUAAACUCUCCAGGUGAGUUUGGUGAUACUCUGACACCAGUAUCCGUGAUGGAGGGAGAUUCAUUCACUCUAAACUCUGGUCUUACUGAAAUAACGGAUGAUGGUCUGAUUCUGUGGUUGUGUUUAAGUAAAAACACUUUAAUAGCUGAAAUCAAUAAACGGGCCGACAGCAUCUCUGUAUAUGAUGAUGUUCUUGAUGGGAGAUUCAGAGACAGACUGAAGCUGGACGAUCAAACUGGAUCUCUGACCAUCACAAACAUCACAACUGAAGAUACUGGAUUUUAUCAUCUACAAAUCAAUCGUAUGAAGAAGGUUUUCUAUCUCAUGGUCUAUGUGUUUGGUGAUGAAAUGAAGUCAGUGUCAGUGAAGGAGGGAGAUUCAGUCACUCUAAACUCUGGUCUUACUGAAAUAACGGAUGAUGGUCUGAUUCUGUGGUUGUUUGUAGAUGCUUUAAUAGCUUUUAUCAGCAAAGUGACUAACGUCUACACUAAUAACAAAGGAAAAUUCAGCAACAGACUGAAGCUGGAUCAUGAAACUGGAUCUCUGACCAUCACAGACGUCAAAAUGAUACAUUCUGGACGUUAUAAACUUCAGAUCAACAGCGUGGUCAAGAGUUUCAUUCUCACUGUCAAUGGUGGCACUGCAAAUGCACAGAUGCCAGUGUCAGUGAUGGAGGGAGGUUCAGUCACUCUAAACGCUGGUCUUCCUGAAAUACAGACUGAUGAUUUGAUUCAGUGGACAUUUGGAAAUAAAAACACCAUAAUAGCUGAUGUAUUGCUUGACAGAUUCUCUGUGUAUGAUGAUGUUCCUGAUGGGAGAUUCAGAAACAGACUGAAGCUGGAUGAUCAAACUGGAUCUCUGACCAUCACAGACACCAGAACUGAACAUGCUGGACUUUAUGAACUACAUGUCACACGUAUGAAGAUGAUUUUCACUCUUAAAGUCUAUGGUGUUACAGAUGCAGUGAAGUCAGUGUCAGUGCUGGAAGGGGAUUCAGUCACUCUAAACUCUGAUCUUACUGAAUUAGAUGAUGAUGUGUUUCAGUGGGUGUUCAUCAACUCUUUAAUAGCUCAUUUCAAUGUAAAGGCUGACCACAUUACUAUAUUUGAUUAUAAUGAUGGGAGAUUCAGAGACAGACUGAAGCUGGACAAAAAAACUGGAUCUCUGACCAUCGCAGACAUCAGAAUUGCACACUCUGGACUUUAUGAACUGCAGAGACCUGCCUACAGAGUGGCCAAAGACUGGAAAUUCAGUCUUACAGUCUAUGCUAGUCCACCCGUACCUGUCAUUAGCAGGGACUGUUCUUCAUCAUCAGUAUCGUCAAAGACCAAAUGUUCAUUUCUGUGCUCAAUGGUGAAUUUGGGUCAUGUGACUCUCUCCUGGUACAAAGGAAACAGUUUAUUGUCCAGCAUCAGUGUGUCUGAUCUCAGUAUUAGUCUCUCUCUACCUCUGGAGGUGGAAUAUCAGGAUAAAAACAGCUACAGCUGUGUGAUCAACAAUCCCAUCAGAAACCAGACUCAACAUCUCGACAUCACUCAACUCUGUCAACCAUGUACAGACUCUGAACACUGUUGUGGUUCUACUAAAGCUGUGUUCCGAUUGGUCGUAACUGCUCUGGUGGGCGUGUUUGCUGUGGCUGCUGUUGUUCUUUUGGUUUAUGACAUCAGAUCCAGAAGAGCUGAACAAUAUCGAGCACAUUUUCUCACAUAAGAAACCUAGAUCAUGAUGUAAUUUCUAAUAUUACCAUUUUAAUCAUUUAUUAAUCUUAAAUGAAUUUUUAUAUUAAUCUGCUGGUAUUGAUUGACAGCUCAUUUCCCCAUUAGAAGGGGAUUUAAGAACAAACAGCAACACAUUCUCACAUUAAUGCUCAAAAUAUUGAUAAAUACUGAAAAUUACCAAGAUUUUUUUGCUCACAAUUAAUAUAACAUGCUUUUUUAUAUGUACAAUUGAUUCUCUCAUAUUUGAUAAGGCAGUGAUGCUCCUCUACUGGCUAAACACAUGAAAGCACAUGAAAACAUAUCUCUCUUUGCUAUUUGCAGGGCUCCAGUGUCCUGUUCUCACGAACACAGUGCUCCUAGAAGCUUCCAGCUCUCAUUCCUCCGGUCUCUGCUGUCGAAUGAGCUAAACUGAUGAACGUUACUCAUCUGCUCUGUCUCAUCUGCUUCAACCUCUCAUUCUCUCACUCGGUUGCCGGCAUUCCUCGACCCUACGAGCUAAACUGUGGAACGUUACUCAUCUGCAGAAGAAGGACGUCUCCCUGCGCCCCUGUAUUGAUUACAGAGGUUUGAAUGACAUUACAAUAAAGAACAGGUACCCCCUACCUUUAAUGUCUUCUGCUUUUGAAUUGUUGCAGGGAGCUCGGGUCUUCAACAAGUUAGACCUGCACAACGCCUACCACUUGGUGCGCAUUCGGGUGGGGGAUGUGUGGAAGACUGUUUAACACCCCUUUGGGACACUAUGAGUACUUGGUUCUUCCGUUUGGUCUUACCAAUGCUCCAGCCAUUUUCCAGGGACUCGUCAACAGCGUGUUGGGGGACAUAAUUAAUCAAUUUGUCUUUGUGUAUUUGGAUGAUAGCUUGAUUUUCUCCCCCUCUCUCCAAUUACACACCCAGCAUGUCAGACGGGUUCUCCACUGGUUGCUAGAAAACAAGUUGUCAAGGCAGAAAAUUGCGAAUUCCACGCUGAGUCUGUUACAUUCCUUGGCCACAUAAUUUUUACGGGAGGGAUCAAACUUGAUCCCGCUAAGAUAGAAGCUGUCGCCCAGUGAC